AUUGAACGCUGGCGGCAUGCCUUACACAUGCAAGUCGAACGGCAGCGCGGGCGUCUGCUUCUGGUGGAGUGGGGAGCGCGGGUGUGAUUCAUAUGGGCGUACGCAGUGUUGUGGGGGAGAGCGGCGAGAAAGGGGGUAUUAUCGCGCAUGAGCUGAGCGUGUAACCGGGGGGCCGAAAGGCCUCUCGCGAUUUGGGGGUCGGAGGUCGGAUUAGCUAGUUGGUGGGGUAAAGGCUUACCAGGGCGACGAUCCGUAGCUUGUCUGAGAGGACGACCAGCCACACUGGGACUGAGACACGGCCCAGACUCCUACGGGAGGCAGCAGUGGGGAAUUUUGGACAAUGGGGGAAAGCCUGAUCCAGCAAUGCCGCGUGUGGGAAGAAGGCCUUCGGGUUGUAAAGCGCUUUUGUCCGGAAAGAAAUCCUUUGCGCUAAUACGGUCGGGGGAUGACGGUACCGGAAGAAUAAGCACCGGCUAACUACGUG
RNAcentral lists this ribosomal RNA (484 nucleotides) under uncultured bacterium. RNAcentral describes it as "partial 16S ribosomal RNA". It matches the Rfam family "Bacterial small subunit ribosomal RNA", at positions 28 to 507 of the family's 1533-position model. The record is from RNAcentral.